AUAAAUAACAAAUAUAAAAUUGUACACAUCACUUUCAAUUAGGUAUUAACCACCCACUUACUAACUUACCCAUCCUCUCACAAGCAUGCUGCUACAAGUCUAUAUUUGAUCAUCAUUUGCCUGCUUCGUCGGGAAAUUUUCGUAGGAAAUUAUGCACUAUUCUAGUAAACAUUCAUAAGCUGGUCAAUAAUGGAUUUUUCAUGAGGAAGCCUACCAAGGUUCACUCGUGCUAAUCGUAUAAAGGAAAGGGUCGUUAUUCUUACAGGUUUCAACUUCUAAGGUGAGUCUACAAACAAUUGUUCCUUUUCAUAAUUAAGGUAGGGAAGUUAUACUAUAUAUGGUGGGUGAUGAAUUAUGGUUUCAAACUUUGAAUCCUGGAAUCUUGAAUAUUGUUUAUUGAUUGUGAAUUUGUGAUUUCGGGGAGUCUUUUAUUGAUUCAAUGACGUAAUUAAAAGUGUUGGGUCAUUGGUUUCUUCCUGAAUUCUAUCAAGGCUUGCAUGGGGUUGACUAUAGUUAUCUUAUUUGAUGGCUAUUAUCCUUACUAACACAAAAAACUAGUUUGAUGUGAUUGGACAAGUGAUCAGCCAGUUUUGUUGUUAUAAUGUUUGUGUUUCAUUGGUAAAGGCAAAGUCUU
This 634-nucleotide long non-coding RNA is filed under the name Helianthus annuus (common sunflower). RNAcentral describes it as "sRNA HanXRQr2_Chr09g0410291". Lineage: Eukaryota; Viridiplantae; Streptophyta; Magnoliopsida; Asterales; Asteraceae. The record is from RNAcentral.